GACGAACGCUGGCGGCGUGCUUAACACAUGCAAGUCGAACGGAAAGGCCCUGCUUGCAGGGUACUCGAGUGGCGAACGGGUGAGUAACACGUGGGUGAUCUGCCCUGCACUUCGGGAUAAGCCUGGGAAACUGGGUCUAAUACCGGAUAGGAGCCAUUUUUAGUGUGAUGGUUGGAAAGUUUUUUCGGUGUAGGAUGAGCUCGCGGCCUAUCAGCUUGUUGGUGGGGUGAUGGCCUACCAAGGCGGCGACGGGUAGCCGGCCUGAGAGGGUGGACGGCCACACAGGGACUGAGAUACGGCCCAGACUCCUACAGGGGGCAGCAGUGGGGAAUAUUGCACAAUGGGCGCAAGCCUGAUGCAGCGACGCCGCGUGGGGGAUGACGGCCUUCGGGUUGUAAACUCCGUUCGCUAGGGACGAAGCUUUUUGUGACGGUACCUAGAUAAGAAGCACCGGCUAACUACGUG
RNAcentral lists this ribosomal RNA (465 nucleotides) under uncultured bacterium. RNAcentral's name for it is "partial 16S ribosomal RNA". It matches the Rfam family "Bacterial small subunit ribosomal RNA", at positions 28 to 507 of the family's 1533-position model. The record is from RNAcentral.